Non-coding RNA from Parelaphostrongylus tenuis, 73 nucleotides. NCBI's taxonomy places the organism in Eukaryota, Metazoa, Nematoda, Chromadorea, Rhabditida, Metastrongylidae. The record is from the annotation of a GenBank genome assembly.
GCCUCGGUGGUGUAGUGGUAGAGCACGUGUCCCCGGAUAGGAUGAAACCCGGGUUCGACUAUCGCCUGAGGUG